UGUUCAUAUAGUUUAAUAAAAAUGUUGGUUUGUGGAUCCAAAGAUAUAGUUAUAAUAUAUUGUGGAC
This 67-nucleotide transfer RNA is filed under the name Saron marmoratus. RNAcentral's name for it is "tRNA-His". It matches the Rfam family "tRNA". Rfam says of the family: Transfer RNA (tRNA) molecules are approximately 80 nucleotides in length. Their secondary structure includes four short double-helical elements and three loops (D, anti-codon, and T loops). The record is from RNAcentral. Lineage: Eukaryota; Metazoa; Arthropoda; Malacostraca; Decapoda; Hippolytidae.